This 72-nucleotide transfer RNA is filed under the name Bos taurus (domestic cattle). It matches the Rfam family "tRNA". Rfam says of the family: Transfer RNA (tRNA) molecules are approximately 80 nucleotides in length. RNAcentral also lists the same sequence under 4 other names. The record is from Rfam by way of RNAcentral. Lineage: Eukaryota; Metazoa; Chordata; Mammalia; Artiodactyla; Bovidae.
UCCUUGGUGGUCCAAUGGCUAAGAUUCUUCACUCCCAAUGCAGGGGCCCAGGUUCGAUCCCUGGUCAGGGUA